This 331-nucleotide unclassified non-coding RNA is filed under the name Hevea brasiliensis (rubber tree). The record is from RNAcentral. Lineage: Eukaryota; Viridiplantae; Streptophyta; Magnoliopsida; Malpighiales; Euphorbiaceae.
GGGUUUCGAUCGUUGUUACUGCCAGUGCAGUGUUCGGGUACAUAUUCAAACGCAACAGAAACAGAUGGUCCAAAAAGGGUAUUUGAAAGCAUAAAGGGGUUAUCUUUGGAGUCAGUGAAGAUGGGGUUUUCUCAAUUGACUCCGUUUAAAGUGUUAAAGUGGGGCUUGGUGUUUUCUGUUGCUAUUGCUGCGUCCAGAUGGACGAUGAAUGUACUUGUGAAUCCAUUCUUUUGGAUGUAUUUUAGUAUGACAUGGUUAUAUUGGCCAUGGUUGGUGGCCAUAAGUCUUGCAAGUUACAGUCUUUAUUGCUUAAACAAGCAUUUACGUGGGG